CAGUCGCCGCGGUAAUACGAACCGUGCAAACGUUACUCGGAAUCACUGGGCUUAAAGCGCACGUAGGCGGCGACAUAAGUUAGAGGUGAAAUCCCAUCGGCUCAACCGUGGAACUGCCUCUAAUACUGUGUUGCUUGAGGGAGUACGGGGCAUUCGGAACUUCCGGUGGAGCGGUGAAAUGUGUUGAUAUCGGAAGGAACGCCGGUGGCGAAAGCGGAAUGCUGGGUCUCUUCUGACGCUGAGGUGCGAAAGCUAGGGUAGCGAACGGGAUUAGAUACCCCCGUAGUCCCUGUCUCUUAUA
RNAcentral lists this ribosomal RNA (301 nucleotides) under uncultured bacterium. Its description in RNAcentral is "partial 16S ribosomal RNA". It matches the Rfam family "Bacterial small subunit ribosomal RNA", at positions 509 to 808 of the family's 1533-position model. The record is from RNAcentral.